CACGUAGGGGGCAAGCGUUGUCCGGAUUCAUUGGGCGUAAAGAGCUCGUAGGCGGUUCGAUAAGUCGGGUGUGAAACCUCCAGGCUCAACCUGGAGACGCCACCCGAUACUGUCGUGACUAGAGUCCAGUAGGGGAGCGUGGAAUUCCUGGUGUAGCGGUGAAAUGCGCAGAUAUCAGGAGGAACACCAGCGGCGAAGGCGGCGCUCUGGGCUGGAACUGACGCUGAGGAGCGAAAGUGUGGGGAGCGAACAGG
RNAcentral lists this ribosomal RNA (254 nucleotides) under uncultured bacterium. RNAcentral's name for it is "partial 16S ribosomal RNA". It matches the Rfam family "Bacterial small subunit ribosomal RNA", at positions 524 to 776 of the family's 1533-position model. The record is from RNAcentral.